Molecule: long non-coding RNA, 1785 nt
Organism: Nematostella vectensis (starlet sea anemone)
Lineage: Eukaryota; Metazoa; Cnidaria; Anthozoa; Actiniaria; Edwardsiidae
Exons: 3
Source: RefSeq, a predicted model, not a curated record
AUAACUUAAAAGUUUCUGGCCGCCUUGCUAAGUGAAAUAAUCCUGUCAAUCCUCUUUUUUUUGUUCUAUAAGAACCUUUUUCUUAUAAGAACGUCCAGCUUGAGAUUUCAUCAAAUUCUAUGAACAUGCUAAGAACAUGUAGAGGUCCAGAAAGCAGCCGCAAAUUAUUGUUUUGUUAGUGUGUGAUGCGUUCGAAAAUACAGAAAUCAAAUUAUGUCUGUAAUGACAACCUUGACUGUUAUUGCUAUUGAUAAAUUGUAUAAUUCUCUUACAAUACUUCAUUGUUGUAUUAUCUACACUGAAAUUUAAAAUGCUAUAAAAUAAGAACGAUACCCAGCCUCAACUGAACAUUAGUCGUUCAUCCAAAAAGAAAGUGCAUACAUAUCAGGCGAAUGACAAAGAGCACCAAAACAGAACUCUUACGGGAGUUGUUGAUUGAACCUUGGCCUACGGAAAUCUUGUGACGUAGUUUCGAUUUUUCGCGCUCUAAUGAUUGGAAAACUACUUGAAAUGAAGGCAGAAUUAGAUCGACUUGGUGGCGGUAUUAAGUACCAUUGUGGAAAAUGAGAUAUAACCGCUUGUCGGGGCAAUUAUCAAAAGUAGUGGGAGGGGCAGAUAUAUAGUUUUCUGUAAUCAAAACUUCAAAUGAUUUCCACGUUAGUUUGUUAUAACAUUGACGCAAAAGGGUAGUUAGACAAAAAGGCAUAUUUUUAUCUCCUAUUAAAAAAAAAAAACAGCCAGACGUUAAUCUUUAUUGAGCAUGAAUUCGAGAGGUCCUUCGGAGCCCUAUAUAUUUUUGCUGUGAUUGCGCACUAUUUCACGAGAACAAAAACAAAAAGGGGAAAAAAAGAUUAUUGAUCUAAAACAGUGCAAAUAAUUUUCUUGGUGAAAAGUGUGGUUAAUAUAACACGAAUGGGCAAAGUUAACGCAAAGAUAUGCGAAACUGUACUUAUUUCAGACACAAAUUUCCGGCAAGAUGGCAGAGUUUACACACCCUCAUAAUUUAAAGAGGGGUGUACCCUCACCGAGCGUAUUUACAAUGAAUUUGCGAGAAAAGACUUUAUUACAAUAAAAUGACUGAAUGGGGUCGGUACCCCAUGUUGAAAAUAUAACUAAUUUCUGCUUUAACAAAAAACGUACGAAAUGUAUCCUAAAGGCGUGAUACUAGAAAUUUAACUAUCGAAAUUUAAUAUAACUUCACAUCCUCCACUCAAAGAGCAAUAAUAUUCCGGUUGUAUUUGUCGUAGCCUUUCAUCCUACCCGAAAUACGAUGACACAGAACGCUUUACAUUCGAGAACACAAAAGGAUUUUGUGUAAACAGUGCUUAAAAACGAAAUCUUAAUAUUAAUCGCGGCUUCAGAACCUUUAAAGGUGGUAAAUUCACAAAAAGGAUCGCGAUUAUCGUGAAUGUUCUGAGGCGUUUAGCAAGUACGACAGUUACAUCGCACUGGCGCUGUUGGACAAUAUAGAAUAUGAGAGUUAAGCAAGUAGUCGUCGUGCUUUGGAUUCUUGCGCUUAUCCUCCAAGUGUCCACUACCGACGCCAAGGCGUACGAAGAGCUCAGAGAAGAAACCCAUGAGUAUAACCGCGAGUCCCAGUCCUCUGUCGGCUGGCGACGGAAGCGGAGUAUUAGGGCGAAAGAUCAAGAAGAGAGCCUUCAUAAAAACAAAGCCAAGCAAUUUGUCCGCUGAGGAAUCUUCCGUGUGUUGUCAAAUAAUUAUUUUUGCAUAUAUUAGUUGUUCGUUUGUAAGUAAGCGUGAUUAAUAAAGAUUUAGCUCAUUACA